UAAAUUACCCGUAACGAAUCUACUUUAAAUCCGUUAGCAACUGUGCAAGAAACUUGAUUUUCCUUAACCAAAGUAAAACCCAGUUUUUCAAAGUAAGCGUGUGAUGAAUUUCCUAGCAAAGAAACGCAAGCUCCAGAAUCGAAUAAUCCUAUAAUAUGUUGUUUCCCUACACUCACUUGAAGAUAAGGUCUAAUAUCGUCCUCAUUAGUAGCAAAUAAGACUGUGGCAAUUGAUCCGUAGCUGUAAUAUUUUUCAAUCGCCGCCAAUACCUGCAUGUUUUGCGUGCUAUUGUCACAGUCUAAGUCCACUAGUUUUUUUGGUCCUUGUUCUUCAUUUGAGGACAAUCCGCUUUAAAAUGAUCGUCUUUUCCGCACUUAAAACAACCACGUAGAAUGCAUUUUUUUUUAAAUAUGAUUUGAUAUCCCGCACUUAAAACAAACCUUCCUAGUAUUGGAACGUACCUCACCUCCGUUUGACAUCUUUGACGUAGACGUCUGUGAACUCUGUGGUACAUCAUUAGAUGCUUUAUUUGACAUUUGCUUUUCUCCAUAUUUGUGCUUAUUAUUACUGAAAGAUUGACUAAUGCGAUUAGAUGGAUCAGAUUGAUUAAAAGAAGAAAUAGCCGAAACUCCUGGCUGUGUUUUCUUUUGUGGUUUAUACAAAAAUUCAGAUAAAGGCGUACUCAGCCUAUUAAACAUUCCUGACAUUAAUGCAAAAUAAAGAUGAAGUGGCUCAUCUUCUCCUUGCGUACGAACACGAAUCUCAUUUGCUAACUUAUAAUCGUACUCUGUAUCCUGAAAAUCACUCAACAACAACAAUGCAAGUUCCUGCCAUGAUGACACCUUAUUCCUGUUUGCAUGGAACCAUAUAAGAGCAUGAUCCGAGAAUAACCUGGCUGCAGAAUACAAAAGUUUAGAAUCUGAAACUCCAUAAGCCUGUUGAAGAUCUUGAACGAUUUCUAAAAAUGUCUUUGGGUCUGUGUGUCCAUUGAACUUGAGAUUCCAUUUCAAAAUGCUUUUAUGACUACGAUCCGACUCCGACACAACCUGUUCUUCCACAAAAUUACCAGAAGAACCUUCACCUGUCGUUAACGAAGAAGUCACCUUACCGACGUUAUCAAGUUUAGUCAAAAAACCGUCAAGUGAUUGUUUACUUGCCUUUAUUUGUGUUUGUGUACCUGUGACCUCUGGUCGAACCCUAGAAAUUCUGUGAAAUAAGUGAUAAGCCAAUGCUUUUGCCUUAAUAAAAGUGUAAUUUUCUCUUGAUUGUU
Long non-coding RNA from Cydia splendana, 1270 nucleotides. RefSeq lists it as uncharacterized. The transcript is spliced from 2 exons. The record is from RefSeq and is a predicted model, not a curated record. Lineage: Eukaryota; Metazoa; Arthropoda; Insecta; Lepidoptera; Tortricidae.